RNAcentral lists this long non-coding RNA (841 nucleotides) under Felis catus (domestic cat). RNAcentral's name for it is "lncRNA (ENSFCAG00000048735.1)". Lineage: Eukaryota; Metazoa; Chordata; Mammalia; Carnivora; Felidae. The record is from RNAcentral.
CCAGUCCAUACACCACUGAAAGUGUUUUAUUCUAUCAGGCUGUUGCUGAAAUUUGUAUUUCCCUAGCAACAAAGCAGUAGAUAGGUUUUUCCUUCCAAGGUAAUUAGGCAUGUACUGACACACAACCACAUUUUAUGCUAUUCUACACAGUGAAAUAACAACAACUAACAUUUAUUUAGUACUCGCUAAGAGUCAGGCACUAUUCUUUGCAAUUUACAUGUAUUAACUCUUUUUAACCUUAUUACUGUUAUUAUUCACAUUUUAUGGUUGGAUAAAGAGAGAAGUGGGGUAUGUUUCCCAAGGUUACAAAGUAGUAAACAAAGAGGUCUCUAAUUUUGUGAUUUUAUUCACAGGUUAACAUAGAUAUUUAGUUUCUACGACUUGAUUAUAAUUGUACUAAGCCAUGACGAUGUAAAACCGAAGAAAACAUUUUUUUCCAUACUUCUGGUCUAUUCACAGAUAUAAAAGCAAAUGUCUGCAGAAGAGUAUUUGGGAAUCAGUAAAGCAACUAUGGUUUCCUGAGAGACAGAUCCCAGAAAGAAACAGCUCCAGGAAACCAGGAAUCCACCAUUGAUUUUCAGCCUCAAGUCCAGGGACUGACCUACACUGAAGGUUCAGCAGGCUGGCUGGAGGACUGUCCUGAGGUCUGUGGUGACUGAAAUCAAGCUACAGUGCGUAGAGUAGCGUUGGUUUGAGAAAGGUCUGCUUCCCGGCCAGAACACUUUCCUCCUUGUUAAGUGGAGCAAGUAUUCCUCUACUUUUUCUUGGGGAAUACUCCUGCACUCAAUUUGUAGCAAAAGAGAGGGAGUAAAUUACUUCAUGUUAGUAUAACCAAUCUUCC